UGUUAUGUCGGCAGAUCAUCGAACAGUGGGCCGCGAUGUUGGAUUUUUUUUACUGAUCGUCCCCGUAUGCAAGGGGUGGCUUGCGACUUACUGCCGGAGGUACGACGGGAGCUGUGACACGCUGACAGAGCGCCUUAACUGCCUGGGCCCCAGCAGCAGGCCGCCGCCGGAGUGACGGCUUCUAUGGCGAAGUAAGGUGGCGGCAGCGUGAGCCCGAGGCGCGAAAUCGCAGCGCAAUCAGGAGUACAGGUGGAGGGCCGUUUGAUUUGGCGACGCACGUUCGGUAGACAACGCCCGCAUCGCUUCGGCGGCCCUGCGUUCCCAAGGCCCGCGGCGUCCAGCAGCGCUGCCGAUAGUAUAGAGACAAGGAGCCGCACAGCAUUGCAAGAAUGUAAACCCCAUCACAUCCAGUGGUGCCCAGCUGUGAACCACUGCACAGCGUGAUCCCACCUUUGCCUACCCGCCUAGUACGUGCCUACUGUAGCCGGAUCAUCGCUAUUGUUGUUGUAAAGGUCCGCAUCUUCUCAUUCGAGUUCCUUCAGUGCAAGGGAUGUCGUCUGGCUCAGACAGCUGCUGCAGAACACCGAGGUUGUGAAGCACCACACAAACUGCGAUGAUCAUCAACCUGAAGAGUGGGCCGUAGUGUUGUGUACCUCUGCAGGCCUUGAGGACCCCAAUGUGCGAUUACACAACACACCACAGUGACGAGUGGGUACAGUUGAAUCAGGCAGCAGGGGAUCCUGCACGGUGUGCUCCAGGGAUGGCGUUGAGCAGCCAAAGUUGCAGCGGGUGCCCAUUCCAGUUCCCUGAUGGAUCUGCGGAGUCGGAUAUCUGGCACUGCGGAGAACCGAGCUGAUUGCAGUACCAGCACUCUGAAGAAGUUUCGAGGCAAGGCAAGACUGACUUCACGUGUGGAGUGGAAUCAUGUUGAUAUUCGGUGCAACGUUUGUGUGCACACUGUGUUCAGUCAAAAAACAUUUACUGAUACAUUGAUUUAUAGUCAGCUGCCUGCUCCUGAAAUAUAGAAAUCUUGUGAUUCUCUUGGGCAGAAGAGAUCUUGCCAUAAUCACUGUCACGGCCAGAAGUGACGCUGGCCAUGGCACAGAGUUUGCACACAUCUAUGUCUUAUAUGUAUAUAAUGUAAGGUACCCAUAAAAGGGGAUGGCGGAUGUAAAUGGUGUGUGCUCGGCUUGCAAUGGAGGCAAUUGAUUCACGAAUAACUUCACGUUUUCCUGCCUUUGUGUGAUCGGGGCCAGGGCUUUAAGUCGGGCGGGGGGGGGGGCAGCCGCCCCCUCCAUUUUAUGAGGAGGGGCUCGCCCCCCCUCUGCAAGUCACCUGUAUAGCUUUGCGGCACCCAUUUAACAUGCGCUGGAGUUGAUUUUUUGCGCAAGAGUGCUUUCUGCGGGGAAAUUAUAACUCUCCAAUUUUCCGAGACACUGCACAUUUUCCCGAGACACUGCACACAAUGGGUCGCCACCGUGUUCGACUAAGCUCCACUAGCAAAAUAUAAUCCUUUCAUGUUUAAGAUGUCCCCGCCGCAAAGGUGUAUUCACAAUACCGUAUCUACAGCUUAAUCCCGAGCGUUCAGUUCGUCAACAAUAGUUACUUCUUCGCGGUAGCAGGGCUCAGCUUGGGAGAGCGGAGCUCGUUAAUCAGUGUAUCGCUACACCUCUGUUUUUAAAGUAUUUCUGACGGUAAUGCGCUGCACAGCCAGAUAAAAGACCUCCAGGGGUCAGUAAUAUCUGCAACAGAAUGUCUUUUCAACUGUGAAAAGGAAUUCUAGAAAAAAUCCGGGAUGACUUGUGGCGUAGGUGGCUGUUUUGGUCGGCGGUACAUGGCAGUAUGAAAAGCUUUUGGAGGGGAGGGGGGUGGCUGAAGCCCCAUAAGCCACCUCCCUGGCUACGCCCCUGAUUAUAUAUAUAUAUAUAUAUAUAUAUAUAUAUGCUUUGCGAAGUAGAGG
Molecule: long non-coding RNA, 1960 nt
Organism: Rhipicephalus sanguineus (brown dog tick)
Lineage: Eukaryota; Metazoa; Arthropoda; Arachnida; Ixodida; Ixodidae
Exons: 4
Source: RefSeq, a predicted model, not a curated record